Molecule: ribosomal RNA, 253 nt
Filed under: uncultured bacterium
Lineage: Bacteria
Description: partial 16S ribosomal RNA
Rfam family: Bacterial small subunit ribosomal RNA
Source: RNAcentral
UACGGGGGGAGCAAACGUUGUUCGGAAUCAUUGGGCGUAAAGCGCGCGUAGGCGGCCCUGUAAGUCCGUUGUGAAAGUCAAAGGCUCAACCUUUGAAAGCCGAUGGAUACUGCAGGGCUAGAGUCCGGAAGAGGCGAGUGGAAUUCCUGGUGUAGCGGUGGAAUGCGCAGAUAUCAGGAGGAACACCAAUAGCGAAGGCAGCUCGCUGGGACGGUACUGACGCUAAGGCGCGAAAGCGUGGGGAGCGAACAGG